CACCAUCGAAUCGAACGUCCAGGGAGGCACUGAGUCCACUUGCAAUAACAUCAGCAACAGCGGAGAAGCUUCGGCUCUGACAUCCGACGGAGAUGGAGAGAAAUCGCUGGAGUUAGUGGCCGAGUUGACUGAUAGAGGAACUAAAGCUCUUAAGGAAAGUGAUUAUGGCGANGUGCUUCAGCCGUGCCCUAGAAAUCAGGGUUUCACACUAUGGUGAACUUGCCUUUGAAUGCUUAAAUGCGUACUACCAAUAUGGACGUGCACUAUUGUACAAAGCUCAAGAAGAGGCCGAUCCACUGGCUACAGUACCGAAGAAGGAUAGUGAAUCUAAACAAGACUCUGAUAAAGAUGGAUCUGUUAAAAAUUCAAUAAAUGGAGAAUCUUCCACUGCUUCUGUUUCAAGUAAUGUAGAAGAUGGGAAGCUCAAUUCCAAUAAUCAAGGAGCAGCUUAUGAUGCAUCUGGUGGGAAAGAUCAGGAAGAAGAAGAUGAGGAUAGUGAUGAUGAAGACUUGGCAG
Molecule: unclassified non-coding RNA, 516 nt
Filed under: Hevea brasiliensis (rubber tree)
Lineage: Eukaryota; Viridiplantae; Streptophyta; Magnoliopsida; Malpighiales; Euphorbiaceae
Source: RNAcentral